CCAAACUUGGUCAUUUAGAGGAAGUAAAAGUCGUAACAAGGUUUCCGUAGGUGAACCUGCGGAAGGAUCAUUAACGAGUUUUGAAAUGGGUUGUUGCUGGCCUUCCGAGGCAUGUGCACGCCCUGCUCAUCCACUCUACACCUGUGCACUUACUGUAGGUUGGCGUGGGUUUCUAGCCUCCGGGUUGGAAGCAUUCUGCCGGCCUAUGUACACUACAAACUCUUAAAGUAUCAGAAUGUAAACGCGUCUAACGCAUCUUAAUACAACUUUCAGCAACGGAUCUCUUGGCUCUCGCAUCGAUGAAGAACGCAGC
This 313-nucleotide unclassified non-coding RNA is filed under the name uncultured fungus. RNAcentral's name for it is "partial contains small subunit ribosomal RNA, internal transcribed spacer 1, and 5.8S ribosomal RNA". The stretch from base 1 to 73 matches the Rfam family "Eukaryotic small subunit ribosomal RNA", at positions 1759 to 1831 of the family's 1831-position model. The record is from RNAcentral. Lineage: Eukaryota; Fungi.